This 415-nucleotide ribosomal RNA is filed under the name uncultured delta proteobacterium. RNAcentral's name for it is "bacterial SSU rRNA". It matches the Rfam family "Bacterial small subunit ribosomal RNA", at positions 370 to 779 of the family's 1533-position model. Lineage: Bacteria; Deltaproteobacteria. The record is from RNAcentral.
AAUGGGCGAAAGCCUGACGCAGCAACGCCGCGUGUGUGAAGAAGGCCCUCGGGUCGUAAAGCACUGUCUUAGGGAACGAGCCUCUGGCGUUAAUAUCGCCAGAGCCGACGGUACCCUAAAAGAAAGCACCGGCUAACUCCGUGCCAGCAGCCGCGGUAAUACGGAGGGUGCAAGCGUUGUUCGGAAUUAUUGGGCGUAAAGCGCGCGUAGGCGGAUCAUUAAGUCUGAUGUGAAAUCCCUGGGCUCAACCCAGGACGUGCAUUGGAUACUGGUGAUCUUGAAUCCUGGAGAGGGUGGCGGAAUUCCCAGUGUAGAGGUGAAAUUCGUAGAUAUUGGGAGGAACACCAGUGGCGAAGGCGGCCACCUGGACAGUGAUUGACGCUGAGGUGCGAAAGCAUGGGUAGCAAACAGGAUU